RNAcentral lists this transfer RNA (72 nucleotides) under Emiliania huxleyi. Its description in RNAcentral is "tRNA-Pro". Lineage: Eukaryota; Haptophyta; Isochrysidales; Noelaerhabdaceae. RNAcentral also lists the same sequence under 1 other name. The record is from RNAcentral.
GGGCUAGUGGUCUAGUGGCAUGAUACCCUCUCAGGGUGGGGGUGGUCCCGAGUUCGAUUCUCGGCUGGCCCC